CCUACGGGGGGCAGCAGUAGGGAAUAUUGCUCAAUGGGGGAAACCCUGAAGCAGCAACGCCGCGUGGAGGAUGAAGGUUUUAGGAUUGUAAACUGCUUUUGUACGAGGGUAAACGCAGAUACGCGUAUCUGUCUGAAAGUAUCGUACGAAUAAGGAUCGGCUAACUCCGUGCCAGCAGCCGCGGUAAUACGGAGGAUGCGAGCGUUAUCCGGAUUUAUUGGGUUUAAAGGGUGCGUAGGCGGAAUAUCAAGUCAGCGGUAAAAAUUCGGGGCUCAACCCCGUCGUGCCGUUGAAACUGAUGUUCUUGAGUGGGCGAGAAGUAUGCGGAAUGCGUGGUGUAGCGGUGAAAUGCAUAGAUAUCACGCAGAACUCCGAUUGCGAAGGCAGCAUACCGGCGCCCAACUGACGCUGAAGCACGAAAGCGUGGGUAUCGAACAGGAUUAGAUACCCCUGUAGUC
Molecule: ribosomal RNA, 458 nt
Filed under: uncultured bacterium
Lineage: Bacteria
Description: partial 16S ribosomal RNA
Rfam family: Bacterial small subunit ribosomal RNA
Source: RNAcentral